Molecule: long non-coding RNA, 798 nt
Filed under: Zonotrichia albicollis (white-throated sparrow)
Lineage: Eukaryota; Metazoa; Chordata; Aves; Passeriformes; Passerellidae
Description: lncRNA (ENSZALG00000001468.1)
Source: RNAcentral
GGAGAUGGAGGAGCUCCGGUGGGAAUCUGGGAAUGCUGGGAGUGCUGGGAAUGGUUAUUGGGAAUUCCGGGAAUGUCUGGUGUGAGUGUUGGGAAUGUCUGGUGGGAAUGUUUGUUGGGAAUGUUUGGUGGGGCACUGGAUGGAGCUGCAGGAGCAGAGGAAGGAGCAGCGGUGGAGAAAGGAGAUGGAGGAGCUCCGGUGGGAAUCUGGGAAUGCUGGGAGUGCUGGAAAUGGCUAUUGGGAAUUCUGGGAAUGUCUGGUGGGAAUGUUUGGUGGUGGCACCGCAUGGAGCUGCAGGAGCAGUGGCGGAAAAAGGAGAUGGAGGAGCUCCGGUGGGAAUCUGGGAAUGCUGGGAAUGGUUAUUGGGAAUUCCGGGAAUGUCUGGUGUGAGUGUUGGGAAUGUUUGGUGGGAAUGUUUGUUGGGAAUGUUUGGUGACGGCACUGGAUGGAGCUGCAGGAGCAGCGCAAGGAGCUCCGCAGGAAAAAGGAGAUGGAGGAGCUCCGGAGCUACUCGUCGCUGAUGAAGGCCGAGAACAUGUCCUCCAACCAGGUGGGCGGGGAGACCCCGGAAUUCCGGGAAUUCCUCGGGAAAGGGGGGCGGGAGAGCUCUGGGAAUUCCUCGGGAAAGGGGUGGGGAAAAUGGGAAUGACGGGAGAUACGGGAAUAACGGGGUUAAUGGGAUGGAGGGGGAUGGGAAUGAUGGGAAAUUUGGGAAUCGUGGGAACGGGAAUCAUGGGAAUGUGAUCUGGAAUAACGGGAUUAAUGGGAAUAGUGGGGUUUGGAAUAAUGGCAGUGGGA